This 790-nucleotide long non-coding RNA is filed under the name Olea europaea subsp. europaea. The record is from RNAcentral. Lineage: Eukaryota; Viridiplantae; Streptophyta; Magnoliopsida; Lamiales; Oleaceae.
UCUGCAUUGACUUCACAGAUCUUAACAAAGCAUGUCCAAAGGAUAGUUAUCCCCUACCACGGAUUGACAACUUGGUGGAUAGCACGUCCGGACAUAAGUUGUACAGCUUCUUGGAUGCAUUUUCUGGUUAUCAUCAAAUCCUCAUGGCCGAAGAAGAUCAAGAAAAGACAUCAUUCAUGGCCGAUUCCGCCAUAUACUGUUAUAAGGUCAUGCCUUUCGGUUUGAAGAAUGCAGGGGCAACAUACCAAAGACUCAUCAACAAAGUCUUUGCUAACUUGAUUGGAAGGAAUGUGGAGGCGUACGUUGAUGACAUGGUGGUCAAGAGCAAACAGGUGGACCAACAUAUUUCAGAUCUUGAAGAAGUGUUCAACACCUUGCGAAAGUACGGAAUGAAGUUGAACCCCGCGAAAUGCGCAUUCGGCGUUGCCUCGGGCAAGUUCUUGGGCUUUAUGAUCACUCAUCGGGGGAUAGAGGCCAACCCUGACAAAAUACAAGCCUUGGCAUCUAUGGAAUCACCAAGGAACAAGAAAGAGGUACAGAGGUUGACUGGUAGGAUAGCAGCCUUGAACAGGUUCAUGUCCCGAGCAUCGGACAGGUGCUAUCCCUUCUUCAAAGUUCUCAGAGGAAACCAAGGCUUUGAUUGGAGUGAAGACUGUGAGAAAGCUUUCCAGGAGCUCAAACAGACGUUGGCAUCUCCCCCAAUUCUCACUAGGCCUGAGCCUGGUGACACCUUAUUUCUGUACUUGGCCGUAUCUCAAAACGCUGUCAGCGGGGUCUUGGUGAAAGAGGU